RNAcentral lists this ribosomal RNA (464 nucleotides) under Vreelandella stevensii. RNAcentral describes it as "partial 16S ribosomal RNA". It matches the Rfam family "Bacterial small subunit ribosomal RNA", at positions 338 to 795 of the family's 1533-position model. The record is from RNAcentral. Lineage: Bacteria; Pseudomonadati; Pseudomonadota; Gammaproteobacteria; Oceanospirillales; Halomonadaceae.
CCUACGGGUGGCAGCAGUGGGGAAUAUUGGACAAUGGGCGAAAGCCUGAUCCAGCCAUGCCGCGUGUGUGAAGAAGGCCUUCGGGUUGUAAAGCACUUUCAGUGGGGAAGAAAGCCUUGGGGCUAAUACCCUCGAGGAAGGACAUCACCCACAGAAGAAGCACCGGCUAACUCCGUGCCAGCAGCCGCGGUAAUACGGAGGGUGCGAGCGUUAAUCGGAAUUACUGGGCGUAAAGCGCGCGUAGGCGGUCUGAUAAGCCGGUUGUGAAAGCCCCGGGCUCAACCUGGGAACGGCAUCCGGAACGGUCGGGCUGGGGGGAAGGGAGGGAAGGUAAAAUCCCGGGUGAGGCGUGAAAUGGGGUGAGGAUGGGAAGAAUAACAGGGGGCGAGGGCGCCCUUCGGAAUUACCACGGCCGCUGGGGGGCGAAGGCUGGGGAAGCAACAGGAUUAGAUACCCGUGUAGUC